GCACCCCGAUACUUGACUUCCCAGCCUCCAGCCUGAUCUGGGGGAAGCCAGUUGUGCUUCUUAAGGCCUCCCUGUUGAGAGACUCAUGCCAGUGAACUUGGAAGCAGAUCUCCUAAAGCCUCUCAACAGCUACAGAAAUUAACUUGAAAGGAGAUCCUCUAACCAGCUGAGGCUUGAGAUGACUGCAGCCCUGGCCAGGACCUCAGUCGCAGGCUGUGAGAGUCCUGGAGCCAAAAUCACCCAGAGAAGCUACUCCUGGAUUCCCAACACAGACCAUUGAAAUAAUAAAUGUUUAUUGCUUUAACCUCUA
This 310-nucleotide long non-coding RNA is filed under the name Homo sapiens (human). RNAcentral describes it as "HSALNT0336413". The record is from RNAcentral. Lineage: Eukaryota; Metazoa; Chordata; Mammalia; Primates; Hominidae.